Molecule: ribosomal RNA, 666 nt
Filed under: uncultured Bacillota bacterium
Lineage: Bacteria; Bacillati; Bacillota
Description: bacterial SSU rRNA
Rfam family: Bacterial small subunit ribosomal RNA
Source: RNAcentral
GACGAACGCUGGCGGCGUGCCUAAUACAUGCAAGUGGAACGCAUGAUUGAUACCGGAGCUUGCUCCACCAUUAAUCAUGAGUCGCGAACGGGUGAGUAACGCGUAGGUAACCUACCUCAUAGCGGGGGAUAACUAUUGGAAACGAUAGCUAAUACCGCAUAACAGUAUUUAUCGCAUGGUAAUUGCUUGAAAGGAGCAAAUGCUUCACUAUGAGAUGGACCUGCGUUGUAUUAGCUAGUUGGUGGGGUAACGGCUCACCAAGGCAUCGAUACAUAGCCGACCUGAGAGGGUGAUCGGCCACACUGGGACUGAGACACGGCCCAGACUCCUACGGGAGGCAGCAGUAGGGAAUCUUCGGCAAUGGGGGGAACCCUGACCGAGCAACGCCGCGUGAGUGAAGAAGGUUUUCGGAUCGUAAAGCUCUGUUGUAAGAGAAGAACGUGUGUGAGAGUGGAAAAUUCACACAGUGACGGUAACUUACCAGAAAGGGACGGCUAACUACGUGCCAGCAGCCGCGGUAAUACGUAGGUCCCGAGCGUUGUCCGGAUUUAUUGGGCGUAAAGCGAGCGCAGGCGGUUUGAUAAGUCUGAAGUAAAAGGCUGUGGCUUAACCAUAGUAUGCUUUGGAAACUGUCAAACUUGAGUGCAGAAGGGGAGAGUGGAAUUC